RNA transcript from Nicotiana attenuata, 1623 nucleotides. RefSeq lists it as uncharacterized. The transcript has 7 exons. NCBI's taxonomy places the organism in Eukaryota, Viridiplantae, Streptophyta, Magnoliopsida, Solanales, Solanaceae. The record is from RefSeq and is a predicted model, not a curated record.
UAUAGAAAUCGAUAGCCUUCGAGUGUUUAUAGAUGAGUCUGUCCAGACUGUUUUGCAAAUAAUAAAUAGUAGAAAUGUGCAAAAUGAUGCAAAGUUUGCUAGCAGUUCAACAAAAAACAAUGACCAACAAAAUGACUUCAACAAUGAGCAUUUUCAGUUCAAUAUUAGGGAACAAGUGCAAGCCAGCACCACUAAAACAGAACAUGUUGAAGGUGCAAUUGGUCAAGAAAAUCUUCCAUCACAUGGUGAUUUACAUACACAUUUUCAAGUUGCAGCUGAUGAAGACAAAGCAGUCCCCAAUUCACGGAGUGACAGUAGCAGCUCAGACCGAGCAUGUCAUCGAGGAAGAUGACAAUGAAGGUGCAGAUGCAGAGUAUGUGGAUCUAGGUGAUUCAGAAGGAUCAGGAGUUGAGAAGAAUGGGGUCACACUAGAUGAUUUUGAGUUUCCUGACAACUUAUCCCAGUUGGUUAUGUUUGGCGAGCCCAUACAAGAUGAUGCAACACCUAUGCAUCCGGGGAGAACAAGGCAUUCGGGAAAGCAUGCCCGAUCACCAUUUAUCCCUCUAUACAGUUCUGGGAGCAGCAGCUCGGUUGGACCUAAAAUUUUCUACCUAAAGCACCCUUUUACUACUGUUAUUGGUGAAAAUGUAGAUCCGGAUAUUUUAGAGAACUUCAGCAAGUGGUUAUACCACUUUAUUGACAAAGGUUCAAAGAGGAGGAAGGCUCCGUUUUCCAUAAAGGAUAACCAAAUUAAGCCUUGGUUAGACCUUGGAGUGGAAAAGGUUGAUAAGAAGGAAUGGUUCUAUUCCCUGGCUCACCCCGAUCAAGUCCUCAAUGACUCGCACAUUAAUGUUUUAAUGUAUUACUUGAGGAAAAGAGGCAAGUAUGGCCCCAAAAACAGUACCAGGUUUACCACAACGGAUUAUGUGUUCAAGACCAGGAUAAAACAAAUUUAUGAAAAGUUCAUAAAUUCACCUCCAGAAAAGAUGUAUUUUGUUGUUAAACCCCAAGAUGUUGUUGCAGAAUAUAUUUGGGGUAUAGACUACUUGCCAAUGUUGCAUGGGAUGAAGUUGACUAUGUGAUCAUGCCCGUCAAUAUUGUAGAAAAAUUCCAUUGGGUGUUGGUUGUUUUCGACAUUGCAAACAGGCAACUUUAUGCGUAUGAUUCCAUGGUCUCUUCACACAACCAUCAAGUUGUUGAAUCCCGUGUCGAUAAGUUUUAUGUUAUUAUCCCUUUGUAUUUGUCAUGCACUGGUUUCUAUGGGAAGCGUAAAGACAUUAACUUCAAGACAACAAAGGCAUACAUCGAAAAAUCAGUUACCGACCCUCUUAACAUUCAGUGGCUCGUUGGAGAGAUUCCACAGCAAAAAGAAGGAUCACUCGAUUGUGGUGUAUUUGUUGCUGCCUUUGCGGAGUAUGUUAGCCUUGGAGAUUUGUCGAUUCCCGCAGAAGACCUUUCUGAUAUUGACCAACAUCGUAGAAGCUAUGGAGCGCUCCUAUGGGAUUAUGCUACAAAAAAGCAAGAAGAUGGGUCAAUCAGUGAAAGUGAGGUUACAGGCAGACUAGCAAGGAGGAAGUGUCACGACCCAAAAUCCACUAAGGGUCGUGAUGGCGCUGGACACUA